Molecule: long non-coding RNA, 2611 nt
Filed under: Bemisia tabaci
Lineage: Eukaryota; Metazoa; Arthropoda; Insecta; Hemiptera; Aleyrodidae
Description: lncRNA ENSSSA1UGG004484
Source: RNAcentral
UAUUUCGCCCUGUCUCCGGGGGGAGCAUUUGGAGAGUUGGUAACCUCGGUCUGCCUGCGGCGACGUAGGCUUUCUUUGACGAAUCUCUCUCCAAACUCGAGAUCUUACGCUACGAAAAAUCGGCACCCGACGGUAAAGGCAUUCUACCCUCGAGCGCUUGCAGUACACAAAGUCGUCGCACAGUGGAUCGCGUCAAUAGGAGAGGUCGGACAAAAUUUGGGAACUUUGAACACAUAUCACUCCGUUUAUACAAAACUUUGAGGUUCUGAAAGUGGUUUCCUCGUGAAAUUUUCUCCCAAAAGUACCCAUUCAAGUUUUAAAAUGUGACGAAAUAAACAUCAAAACUUGCCAUUUUAGUCAAAAUUUCUUGUCCGACCUCUCUAAUUGAUUAGAUCCACUGUGCGUCGCUCCUAGAACAUAAGGGCGCACCUCAAUUUCUAGGUGAGCCCUCGUCUUCGUAUGACGCCAUGCUUUCCAGAGCUUAAGUAAAUAUCAAGAUACGUCGGAAACGACCAAGUGAAGCGAUGAUAUGAACACGAAGAGCGGGCCUUCCAGGUGAUUCCCGCUCGGAUGUCUGAUUUUAAUACACAACCAUUCCCAUAAAAAGCGACAUACUUAGUCUACAAACACUCGCAUUGAGUCAAUUCGCAUUUUAGUGUGGAGCUGUUUUCUGUCAUCAUUCUGAUACGACAUUUCCCUGACUUCCCUGUCACAUUUUGGUAAAAUUCCUUGACAAUUAGGAUAUUCCAGAUGCUUGAAAAUAGAUGAAUUGAAAUAGUUCUCAGGCCAAAUUUGUUGUUUGAAACGUCAAACUCCUCCUAGAAAAGAAAAAAAUGUGACUUGACAAAGUUUCCCUGACAUUUCCCGCAUUCCUUGAAUAUGACAACCCUGACUUUAGCCAUAAUUUCGAUAAUUUAGGCGCCCGAGACAAAUAUUUCGGCGGGUUUUGCGGAUGGCGCCAGCAGGAUUCGAACACUGUACGCGGAUUUUUACGGAGAUAGUGCGUGGGUUCGUCCGACGGGUGCACCAUUGAAGCAGCGCUGGAGUCAACGACUGGGACAAUGAGAGCACUGUUAGGUAAGCGAUUGUUGAGCGAUUGCGGAUGUCGCGUCGUCGUCGUUGUCGGCGUCGCACAGCGGAUCGAGUCAAUCAGAGAGGCAGGACAUGACAUAUUCGACUAAAACUGCAAAUUUUGAUGUUUAUUUCGUCAAAUUUUAAAUUUCGAGGGGUGAUUUUUAAAGAAAAUUUUAUAAGUGAACGAAUGGAACCAUUUUUAAGACCUCAAAAUUUUGUAAAAACAGAUUUAUGAGCUUGUAAAGUUUCCAAAUUUUGUCCAACCUCUCCUAUUAAGUCGAUCCCUGUGCGUCGGUCUGGUGUGAAUGCGCCGGGACGCUCGGGCAUUGAGGUGCACCCAGCUCGUGUCCGUCCCUUGUCGCCCGCGCCACCGUUAAGCCGGGUAUUUUUUAUCGGGUCCCCCUACGGUGCCGUGUUACGGAAGUGAACCGUAAGUGGAGUCCGGGAUGAGCCUCGAGACACGUAAGAGCACGUGCUAACCGUGGCUCAUGCAGAAAUGCACUCGUUACUCUGUUCCGUAUCACGGCUGCACAGUCUGACGCCCGACGCGACGCGGACAGCGGACACGCUUCAUUGGAGAAAGCGCUUUAAUUUUUAAUCGAGCUCUCAGUCAGCCGGCUCUUAAUCCCAGCCAACGGUUCGAUUAUAAACUGUCGCAGUCCGAGCCGACGACAUCGACGAACCUUAUUUUCUAUCACGUGACAGACGCCUAGAGCCGAAUUCAUCGACAUGAGUCGAUCGAAAAAUAAAAACGUGAACCGAAGGACAAAUUAUUAAAAAAACCGGUGUCGGAACACGUGAAAAAACACGUGAAAAUAGAGAUACGGCCCUAAGUUAGAGGAGCAACGACAUGACCAAGCACUUAGCCUUGGAAAUUUGAUAAAGUUCCUACAAGAAUGUAGGUAUGCAACCAGUGCCGUCGUUAAGUUACUUUUGUUGCAUAAGUUGUUUUUUGUUAUCAUCUGCUGAUUGAUCGAGUUAUUGAUCUGGCUUACACUUGAACGAAAACGAGCGUUAAAAAAAGGACUUAAAAGUAAUUUAACCACGAGGAAAGUAGUUGGCCGUCUAAAACUGUCACAUCCACCGGACGAUUUGAAAUUUGAUAAAGUUCCUACACGAAGGUAGGUAUGCAACCAGUACCGUCGUUUAGUUACUUCCUUUGCAUAACUUGCUUUUUGUUAUCAUCCAUUGAUUUAUCGAUCUGGAUCACACUUGGAUGAAACCGAGCAUUGAAAAAAUAAAUUAACAAAUAAGUCAACCAUGAGGAAAGCAUUUGGACGUCUAAAACUGUCAUAGGCAUCGGACCAUUAACCCGAAGUUUAUUUGGACGCCUGGCGGGAUUUUUCGCUGUGCCCGACGGCGACGCGACGUGGAGGACCGGCAGCUGCGGCGGCUACGAGUCGGGAGUCGCGUCUCGGCGAAGUUGAAGUUGAGGCUGAAGUUGAGCGUCUCGGAAAUCGGAAGCACGCGCCAUAUGUUUAACAUCUUGCUCGUCUGUUAUUGUUUUAGGGCCGUUUUACGCCAGCGAUUGCAAGCC